GCGGAUCUUCAUUAGCUUGCUUUUGAAGAUCAGCGGCGGACGGGUGAGUAACACGUGGGCAACCUGCCUGUAAGACUGGGAUAACUUCGGGAAACCGGAGCUAAUACCGGAUAAUCCUUUCCCUCACAUGAGGGAAAGCUGAAAGACGGUUUCGGCUGUCACUUACAGAUGGGCCCGCGGCGCAUUAGCUAGUUGGUGAGGUAACGGCUCACCAAGGCAACGAUGCGUAGCCGACCUGAGAGGGUGAUCGGCCACACUGGGACUGAGACACGGCCCAGACUCCUACGGGAGGCAGCAGUAGGGAAUCUUCCGCAAUGGACGAAAGUCUGACGGAGCAACGCCGCGUGAACGAUGAAGGCUUUCGGGUCGUAAAGUUCUGUUGUCAGGGAAGAACAAGUACCGGAGUAACUGCCGGUACCUUGACGGUACCUGACCAGAAAGCCACGGCUAACUACGUGCCAGCAGCCGCGGUAAUACGUAGGUGGCAAGCGUUGUCCGGAAUUAUUGGGCGUAAAGCGCGCGCAGGCGGUUCCUUAAGUCUGAUGUGAAAGCCCCCGGCUCAACCGGGGAGGGUCAUUGGAAACUGGGGAACUUGAGUGCAGAAGAGGAGAGCGGAAUUCCACGUGUAGCGGUGAAAUGCGUAGAGAUGUGGAGGAACACCAGUGGCGAAGGCGGCUCUCUGGUCUGUAACUGACGCUGAGGCGCGAAAGCGUGGGGAGCGAACAGGAUUAGAUACCCUGGUAGUCCACGCCGUAAACGAUGAGUGCUAAGUGUUAGAGGGUUUCCGCCCUUUAGUGCUGCAGCAAACGCAUUAAGCACUCCGCCUGGGGAGUACGGCCGCAAGGCUGAAACUCAAAGGAAUUGACGGGGGCCCGCACAAGCGGUGGAGCAUGUGGUUUAAUUCGAAGCAACGCGAAGAACCUUACCAGGUCUUGACAUCCUCUGACAACCCUAGAGAUAGGGCGUUCCCCUUCGGGGGACAGAGUGACAGGUGGUGCAUGGUUGUCGUCAGCUCGUGUCGUGAGAUGUUGGGUUAAGUCCCGCAACGAGCGCAACCCUUGAUCUUAGUUGCCAGCAUUCAGUUGGGCACUCUAAGGUGACUGCCGGUGACAAACCGGAGGAAAGGGGGGGAUGACGUCAAAUCAUCAUGGCCCCUUAUGACCUGGGGUACACACGUGCUACAAUGGAAGGGAACAAAAGGUCCCCCAAACCCCCGAGGGCGAGCCAAUCCCCUAAAUCCUUUCUCAGUUGGGAUUGGAGGCGGCAACU
Molecule: ribosomal RNA, 1269 nt
Filed under: Bacillus sp. (in: firmicutes)
Lineage: Bacteria; Bacillati; Bacillota; Bacilli; Caryophanales; Bacillaceae
Description: bacterial SSU rRNA
Rfam family: Bacterial small subunit ribosomal RNA
Source: RNAcentral